This 240-nucleotide unclassified non-coding RNA is filed under the name soil metagenome. RNAcentral's name for it is "partial contains 5.8S ribosomal RNA, internal transcribed spacer 2, and large subunit ribosomal RNA". The record is from RNAcentral.
AACCAUUCUCACCUGCGGCUAGACCUGCGGAGGGAUCAUUACUGAGUCACGUGCUCAAACAACCCUUCUGUGGACCUGAAAUAAAACCGUUGCCUCGGCGGGCGGCCCCCCCCAAACCAACCCCACGUGGUGGGUUAGGGGAGACCAGACAGUCCGGUACGCUUAAGGCGUCCGGCGCCAGCCGCUGGCCCCAAACAAUUAAACUCUAGUAAUCUUUACCUUCUGAAUUUCAAUAUUUAA